Odontomachus brunneus is the source of this 444-nucleotide long non-coding RNA. RefSeq lists it as uncharacterized. The transcript is spliced from 3 exons. The record is from RefSeq and is a predicted model, not a curated record. NCBI's taxonomy places the organism in Eukaryota, Metazoa, Arthropoda, Insecta, Hymenoptera, Formicidae.
CAAUAUGCUAAUGGCGAUCAUUAUUGGAUAUUUGGUUUAUUAAUCUGCAUUCGUUUUUAUAGAUGGUACAAAUGUAGCUAUCAAAGCACCAUCCAUACAUGAAGGACUUUACGUUAAUCGAAAAGGAUAUCAUGCGCAACAUGUACAAAUUAUAUGCGAUGCGGAUAUGCAUAUCAUGAACAUAUAAGUGGCGAGGUAUCCUGGCUCCACUCACGAUUCCUUUGUAUGGAGGAACUGCUAUAUUAGGCAUUUUAUCCAAACGCAAUAUGCUAAUGGCGAUCAUUAUUGGAUAUUUGGUUUAUUAAUCUGCAUUACAUUAUUACCAAAAUUGGUCGCUUAAAAAUUAUUUCAUACAAAAUUGUACAAUGUUUCAAAACUAUGUGAUUCUGGGUAUCCGUUAGGUUUUUAACUCCAUAUCCCGAAGUGCAGCCUGGUACACGAGAG